This 788-nucleotide ribosomal RNA is filed under the name uncultured bacterium. RNAcentral describes it as "bacterial SSU rRNA". It matches the Rfam family "Bacterial small subunit ribosomal RNA", at positions 556 to 1342 of the family's 1533-position model. The record is from RNAcentral.
GGGCGUAAAGAGCUCGUAGGCGGUUUGUCGCGUCUGCUGUGAAAGCCCGGGGCUCAACCCCGGGUCUGCAGUGGGUACGGGCAGACUAGAGUGCAGUAGGGGAGACUGGAAUUCCUGGUGUAGCGGUGAAAUGCGCAGAUAUCAGGAGGAACACCGAUGGCGAAGGCAGGUCUCUGGGCUGUUACUGACGCUGAGGAGCGAAAGCAUGGGGAGCGAACAGGAUUAGAUACCCUGGUAGUCCAUGCCGUAAACGUUGGGCACUAGGUGUGGGGGACAUUCCACGUUUUCCGCGCCGUAGCUAACGCAUUAAGUGCCCCGCCUGGGGAGUACGGCCGCAAGGCUAAAACUCAAAGGAAUUGACGGGGGCCCGCACAAGCGGCGGAGCAUGCGGAUUAAUUCGAUGCAACGCGAAGAACCUUACCAAGGCUUGACAUUCACCGGACCGCCCCAGAGAUGGGGUUUCCCUUCGGGGCUGGUGGACAGGUGGUGCAUGGUUGUCGUCAGCUCGUGUCGUGAGAUGUUGGGUUAAGUCCCGCAACGAGCGCAACCCUCGUUCUAUGUUGCCAGCACGUGGUGGUGGGGACUCAUAGGAGACUGCCGGGGUCAACUCGGAGGAAGGUGGGGAUGACGUCAAAUCAUCAUGCCCCUUAUGUCUUGGGCUUCACGCAUGCUACAAUGGCCGGUACAAAGGGUUGCGAUACUGUGAGGUGGAGCUAAUCCCAAAAAGCCGGUCUCAGUUCGGAUUGAGGUCUGCAACUCGACCUCAUGAAGUCGGAGUCGCUAGUAAU